RNAcentral lists this ribosomal RNA (489 nucleotides) under uncultured bacterium. RNAcentral's name for it is "partial 16S ribosomal RNA". It matches the Rfam family "Bacterial small subunit ribosomal RNA", at positions 28 to 507 of the family's 1533-position model. The record is from RNAcentral.
GACGAACGCUGGCGGCGUGCUUAACACAUGCAAGUCGAACGGAAAGGCCCCCAUCUUGGUGGGGGUGCUCGAGUGGCGAACGGGUGAGUAACACGUGGGUGAUCUGCCCUGUACUUCGGGAUAAGCUUGGGAAACUGGGUCUAAUACCGGAUAGGACCAUGGUUUAGUGUCUCAUGGUGGAAAGAUUAUUGUUUUGGUGCAGGAUGAGCUCGCGGCCUAUCAGCUUGUUGGUGGGGUAAUGGCCUACCAAGGCGUCGACGGGUAGCCGGCCUGAGAGGGUGGACGGCCACAUUGGGACUGAGAUACGGCCCAGACUCCUACGGGAGGCAGCGGUGGGGAAUAUUGAACAAUGGGCGCAAGCCUGAGGCAGCGACGCCGCGUGGGGGAUGACGGCCUUCGGGUUGUAAACUCCUUUCGUUAGGGACGAAGCCGCACUUUUUUUGGGUGUGGUGACGGUACCUUUGUUAAGAAGCACCGGCUAACUACGUG